AGGGGUACGAUGAUUGGAGCUUGCUCCGAUUGAUGACGACCGGCGCACGGGUCGAGUAACGCGUAUCCAACCCUGCCCCACUGCUCUCGGGGAGUAACCUUCCGAAAAGGGAGCCUAAUACCGGAUGUUGUGCGACGAUGGCAUCAGAAUUGCACGAAAGAUUCAUCGGCAUGGGAUGGGGAUGCGUCUGAUUAGCUUGUUGGCGGGGUAACGGCCCACCAAGGCGACGAUCAGUAGGGGUUCUGAGAGGAAGGUCCCCCACACUGGUACUGAGACACGGACCAGACUCCUACGGGAGGCAGCAGUGAGGAAUAUUGGUCAAUGGACGCGAGUCUGAACCAGCCAAGUAGCGUGCAGGACGACGGCCCUACGGGUUGUAAACUGCUUUUAUGAGGGGAUAAAGUCGACCACGUGUGGCCGUUUGCAGGUACCUCAUGAAUAAGGACCGGCUAAUUCCGUGCC
Molecule: ribosomal RNA, 462 nt
Filed under: uncultured bacterium
Lineage: Bacteria
Description: bacterial SSU rRNA
Rfam family: Bacterial small subunit ribosomal RNA
Source: RNAcentral